RNAcentral lists this ribosomal RNA (270 nucleotides) under uncultured archaeon. RNAcentral's name for it is "partial 16S ribosomal RNA". It matches the Rfam family "Archaeal small subunit ribosomal RNA", at positions 710 to 982 of the family's 1478-position model. The record is from RNAcentral.
UCCAGAGUCACUGACAUUAGAUACCCGCGUAGUCCAGGGUGUAAACGCUGCAGACUUGGUGUUGGAAGCCCUUUGGGGGCAUUCAGUGCCGGAGAGAAGUUGUUAAGUCUGCUACUUGGGGAGUACGUCCGCAAGGAUGAAACUUAAAGGAAUUGGCGGGGGAGCACCGCAACGGGAGGAGCGUGCGGUUUAAUUGGAUUCAACACCGUAAAACUCACCAGGGAAGACUGUUACAUGAAGGCCGAGAUGAAGACUCUGCUAGAUUUUCAG